Molecule: ribosomal RNA, 499 nt
Filed under: uncultured bacterium
Lineage: Bacteria
Description: partial 16S ribosomal RNA
Rfam family: Bacterial small subunit ribosomal RNA
Source: RNAcentral
AUUGAACGCUGGCGGCAUGCCUUACACAUGCAAGUCGAACGGUAACAGGUCUCCGGAUGCUGACGAGUGGCGAACGGGUGAGUAAUACAUCGGAACGUGCCUAGUAGUGGGGGAUAACUACUCGAAAGAGUGGCUAAUACCGCAUGAGAUCUACGGAUGAAAGCAGGGGAUCGCAAGACCUUGUGCUACUAGAGCGGCCGAUGGCAGAUUGAGGUAGUUGGUGGGAUAAGAGCUUACCAAGCCGACGAUCUGUAGCUGGUCUGAGAGGACGAUCCGCCACACUGGGACUGGGAAACGGCCCAGACUCCUACGGGAGGCAGGAGUGGGGAAUUUUGAACAAUGGGCGCAAGCCUGAUCCAGCAAUGCCGCGUGCAGGAUGAAGGCCUUCGGGUUGUAAACUGCUUUUGUACGGAACGAAAAGCCCUGGGUUAAUACCCUGGGGUCAUGACGGUACCGUAAGAAUAAGCACCGGCUAACUACGUGCCAGCCGCCGCCGUAA